Molecule: ribosomal RNA, 458 nt
Filed under: uncultured bacterium
Lineage: Bacteria
Description: partial 16S ribosomal RNA
Rfam family: Bacterial small subunit ribosomal RNA
Source: RNAcentral
CCUACGGGUGGCAGCAGUGAGGAAUAUUGGUCAAUGGGCGAGAGCCUGAACCAGCCAAGUCGCGUGAGGGAGUACUGCCCUAUGGGUUGUAAACCUCUUUUGUCGGGGAGCAAAAGCCGGACGUGUCCGGCUGUGAGAGUACCCGACGAAAAAGCAUCGGCUAACUCCGUGCCAGCAGCCGCGGUAAUACGGGGGCUGCGAGCGUUAUCCGGAUUUAUUGGGGUUAAAGGGUGCGCAGGCGGAUUUUUAAGUCAGCGGUAAAAUCGGGGGGCUCAACCCCAUCCAGCCGUUGAAACUGGGGAUCUUGAGUGUGCGAGAGGUAUGCGGAAUGCGUGGUGUAGCGGUGAAAUGCAUAGAUAUCACGCAGAACCCCGAUUGCGAAGGCAGCAUACUGGUGCACAACUGACGCUGAGGCACGAAAGCGUGGGUAUCGAACAGGAUUAGAUACCCGAGUAGUC